Molecule: transfer RNA, 73 nt
Filed under: Elusimicrobiota bacterium
Lineage: Bacteria; Pseudomonadati; Elusimicrobiota
Description: Elusimicrobia bacterium tRNA-Arg
Rfam family: tRNA
About the family: Transfer RNA (tRNA) molecules are approximately 80 nucleotides in length. Their secondary structure includes four short double-helical elements and three loops (D, anti-codon, and T loops).
Source: RNAcentral
GCCCCCAUAGCUCAAUGGAUAGCAGCAUCCGCCUUCUAAGCGGACGAUCCAGGUUCGAUUCCUGGUGGGGGCA